CACACACACACACAGAGUUAUAUAAAGCCAAAAUUGCUUUUAUAGAGAAAAUGCACAUAUAUUUUUUAACAGAAAAAUAUUGCUACCCUGAAAAAUUCUACAUUUUCUCUAUAAAGGCAAAUUUACUCAAAUAGAAUGAUUAACUGGAAGUAUCACUAUUUUAGGAGUUCUAAGAAAUAUGGUCAAGGGUCACAAGGGCCAAAAACAUAGCUCAGCAUAGCUCAGUGAGUGUGAGGCUCUAGGUUCAAUCCUUAGUACCGCAUAAAAACAAACAAACAAACUAAACCAAAUCUCACCAACAUUUUGACUAAAACAAACCCUACUGAUUGCUAACAAACUGUUCUAUGCUUAGAAGUGCAUUUUUCUAAAGUUGAGAUUACAUGAAUACACUUAAAAAAUUAUGUUGUCCUUGCAUUGUUCAACAUACUACCUGAUCACCAGAAACUUGGCCAGUGACUAAUCUGGAAAAAAUAUGGAAUAUAUUAUAAAUAGAAAUCACUUUCAAAUGAAUAAAUUUUCAUUUCUUUCUCAGGCCCUAAAAAAGAUAACAGGCUUUUCCUAAAAAGCAUAUUUAAUAAAAUUUAAUACAAAUUGUGUGCUAUUUUAGUAAUCACUUCAACUUUUAUCCUUAAAAUGUGUUUAUGAAUAAGAUCUGUGAUUUCAACCUCAGCAACAUAAACUUGACAAUUAACCUUUCAAUAUUAAAAAAUAAUGCAAUGACAAUCCCAAUUUCAAAGCUAACAAAGAAGUACAAUUAAUGUAUAAGUAUUUUUACAAAAUAAAGCACAAUAUUACUAAGGUCUCAAGAUGAUGACACAUC
This 820-nucleotide long non-coding RNA is filed under the name Marmota monax (woodchuck). The record is from RNAcentral. Lineage: Eukaryota; Metazoa; Chordata; Mammalia; Rodentia; Sciuridae.